GACGAACGCUGGCGGCGUGCUUAACACAUGUAAGUCGAACGGAAAGGCCCUGCUUGCAGGGUACUCGAGUGGCGAACGGGUGAGUAACACGUGGGUGAUCUGCCCUGCACUUCGGGAUAAGCUUGGGAAACUGGGUCUAAUACCGGAUAGGAGCCAUCUUUAGCGUGGUGGUUGGAAAGUUUUUUCGGUGUAGGAUGAGCUCGCGGCCUAUCAGCUUGUUGGUGGGGUAAUGGCGUACCAAGGCGGCGACGGGUAGCCGGCACGAGAGGGUGGACGGCCACACUGGAAUCGAGAGACGGGCCAGACUCCGAAGUGUGGCAGAAGGGGGGAAUAUUGGAUAAUGGGCGCAAGCCUGAUGCAGCGACGCCGCGUGGGGGAUGAAGGCCUUCGUGGUGUAAGCUCCUUUCGCUAGGGACGAAGCGUUUUUGUGACGGUACCUAGAUAAGAAGCACCGGCUAACUACGUG
RNAcentral lists this ribosomal RNA (466 nucleotides) under uncultured bacterium. RNAcentral describes it as "partial 16S ribosomal RNA". It matches the Rfam family "Bacterial small subunit ribosomal RNA", at positions 28 to 507 of the family's 1533-position model. The record is from RNAcentral.